This 262-nucleotide long non-coding RNA is filed under the name Lathyrus oleraceus (garden pea). Its description in RNAcentral is "Pisum sativum (pea) long non-coding RNA (PSAT_LNC021375)". The record is from RNAcentral. Lineage: Eukaryota; Viridiplantae; Streptophyta; Magnoliopsida; Fabales; Fabaceae.
AGACUUUAAUGAGAAAAAAGAUUUGAAUAUGAUUUCAGAAAAUAAAUCGGUGGAGUUCUCAAUCAUUCAAUUUUUAUUGUUCAAGCUCAAAAUUAAUUUGAAAUCAAAUGAAUAAAUAAGUAAUCGAAUAAUCAAAAAUAAAUUAUAAAUAUAAGAAAGAACAUGCAUGAAUAUGAGAUGUACAAGCAAUUAAAGGAUGUUCAAAUGCAAUUAGGGCCCAAAGCCCAUUCCAAAAUUAAAAUAAACUUAUUAAAUAAUAAAA